CGCUGAGCAGGAUGUAGUAGAGCGAAGUGCUCGCGCUGGGGCGUGUCGUCUGACCAGUGUUUGGAGGUAGAUGGGUGCAGAGAGAGAAAGAGAAAGCCAGUGGAGGUCACGGAGGAGGGGGCUCACAUGGGUAUCUUAUUGUGAAGGUCCCGAACAAAGACUCCAUUCAGGCCGCUGAUGCCUCAGGAUCCCGAUGGAGCCUUUCCAUGCUGGCCCUCUCUAACAAGAUCAGACCCAGCCCUCAUAGAUUCUAUUACCCGACCACUCUAUUACAUUACAUCUCCAUUUACGAACCUUAAGCAGCUCCGAGCACGGCUGGGGCUUCGACCUUGUCAAAGAGGAGAAACUCUGACCAGAUCGAGUAAGAGAGUAAAGGCAGAAUAUGAAAAAAAAAA
This is a long non-coding RNA of Acanthopagrus latus (yellowfin seabream), 395 nucleotides long. RefSeq lists it as uncharacterized. NCBI's taxonomy places the organism in Eukaryota, Metazoa, Chordata, Actinopteri, Spariformes, Sparidae. The record is from RefSeq and is a predicted model, not a curated record. The transcript is spliced from 2 exons.